This 269-nucleotide unclassified non-coding RNA is filed under the name plant metagenome. RNAcentral's name for it is "partial contains small subunit ribosomal RNA, internal transcribed spacer 1, and 5.8S ribosomal RNA". The record is from RNAcentral.
UUUCCGUAGGUGAACCUGCGGAAGGAUCAUUAAUGAGUUGUCAUGGGGUUCGAUGCUGGCAGCUAAUUUUUGGAUGCAUGUGCUUGCCCUAACAAUCAUCUUCCAAACACCUGUGCACAUUUUUGAGGGAAUCUUGAGUUGGUUGCCGCUCUUGGGUGAUUUUCUCACAUUCCCUUAAAUCAUUAUACGCUAUUAACAAUGUUGAACGUGCUCUGUGCCGCAAGGCUAUUAAUAUAAUACAACUUUUAACAACGGAUCUCUUGGCUCUC